Molecule: ribosomal RNA, 500 nt
Filed under: Beauveria bassiana
Lineage: Eukaryota; Fungi; Ascomycota; Sordariomycetes; Hypocreales; Cordycipitaceae
Description: eukaryotic LSU rRNA
Rfam family: 5.8S ribosomal RNA (bases 131-284)
Source: RNAcentral
CCUACCUAUCGUUGCUUCGGCGGACUCGCCCCAGCCCGGACGCGGACUGGACCAGCGGCCCGCCGGGGACCUCAAACUCUUGUAUUCCAGCAUCUUCUGAAUACGCCGCAAGGCAAAACAAAUGAAUCAAAACUUUCAACAACGGAUCUCUUGGCUCUGGCAUCGAUGAAGAACGCAGCGAAACGCGAUAAGUAAUGUGAAUUGCAGAAUCCAGUGAAUCAUCGAAUCUUUGAACGCACAUUGCGCCCGCCAGCAUUCUGGCGGGCAUGCCUGUUCGAGCGUCAUUUCAACCCUCGACCUCCCCUUGGGGAGGUCGGCGUUGGGGACCGGCAGCACACCGCCGGCCCUGAAAUGGAGUGGCGGCCCGUCCGCGGCGACCUCUGCGCAGUAAUACAGCUCGCACCGGGACCCCGACGCGGCCACGCCGUAAAACACCCAACUUCUGAACGUUGACCUCGAAUCAGGUAGGACUACCCGCUGAACUUAAGCAUAUCAAUAAG